Molecule: long non-coding RNA, 1371 nt
Filed under: Canis lupus familiaris (dog)
Lineage: Eukaryota; Metazoa; Chordata; Mammalia; Carnivora; Canidae
Description: lncRNA (ENSCAFG00000057481.1)
Source: RNAcentral
AUGCCCCAUCACUCCGGUGGGCACUGCCCGCUGUCGGGGGAGGGGUCCUGUCUGGCCGUUGGAAACCGCUCGCUCCCUCCCUCCCUCCCUCGCCAGGUGCAAACCGGAGCGCGGGCCGCCCUCUCCGGCAACAGCUGCAGCCCCCGCUUCCGCACACCCCGCGUCUCGCGCCGAGGGCCACGGGCUCUCCUUACCUGCUGCCCUGGGCCGCCUCCCUGCAGACGCAGCUUCGCUGGGGUCCGGGCCGCGGCGGCCGCCGACGAUCCCGGGCGGCGGCUCCCGCGCUCCGACCCCCGCGCCCCUACAUCGCGCGCCCGCCGCGGCCCUGGGAGCGCCUCCGCGCGGGGCAGCCGGCCUGGGCGUCACCACCUCCGCCUCCGCCGGCGCCUCCGCGGCCUGAGCCCCUCAGGGGGGCCCCCUCCGCGCCGGGCCCCCUCCUCCGCCCCCAGGUGCGUCUCCUGCACGGCGCGCACCGCCUGCCCCUCCUGCACCCCGGGCAGCCAGUUUGCUUCCUGCACCCCCAGGCGCCCCUCCCCCUCGGGCCCCCGGGGCCCCACGGGCCGGGCCCUGCCCGCGACCUCGAGCCCCCCGCGGCAGCGCUCCCAGGACGGCGCCCCGCGCGCCGCGGAACUUUCGGGCCCCUCCGCGCGCGCCCACGGGCGGUCUCCGAGCUCGGCGAGCGGCCCGGGCUGCUGCGAACGCCGGCGGCCGCCCUCCCCCUGCUCCUGCACCCCGGCGCGGGCCUCCCCGCGCUCCUGCACUGCGGGGCUGCCCCCGCCCUCCUCCUGGUGCUGCCCGCGGGGCCCCAGCCCCUCCUCCUGCGCCACCGGCCAGCCCGCCGAGCCGGCCCACCGCGCCGGGCGCCCGCAGCCCGCGCCGUCCGACGGGCCCCACCCGCCCCCCGGGCUGGGCUCGCGGCCGCGGCCGCCCCGCUCCUGCACCCCCGGGCCCACCCCGCCCUCCUCCUGCACGGCCGGCCCCGCGCCCCCCUGCUCCUCCACGCCGAGCCGCAGCCCGCGGAGCUGCUGCGGGCCCCAGCUCAGGCGCCCGACCCGCUGCGGCCGCUGCUCCGGCAGCGCGGGGCUCAGCCCGCCGCGCUCCUCCUGCGCCGCCCCGCGCGCUCGCCUGCCCCCGAGAGGCCGCGCGGUCCCGCCCCUCCAGAUGGUGCCGCCCCCGCCGCCCCCCGCCCAGCCCCGCCCCGCCCCUCCCCGCCGAGCCCCGCCGAGGCCGCCGAGGCCGCCGCGGGCCGGCGCCCCCGCUCCUCCGCCCCCGCCGCGCCCCGCGCCCCGCGCCCCGCGCCCCGCGCCCCGCAGGUGCAGCGGCCCCGCGCGCCCGCCCGAGUUCCCGGAGCCCGCCUGCGCCUGCGCCUGC